GGUAGUAGCAAUAUUCAAAUGAGAACUUGGAAGGCCGAAGAGAGGGAAGUCCAUGUGAACGAUACUUGCAUAUGGGUUAGUCGAUCUUAAGGGAUGGAGGAAGGUCGUCAUAUAGCACUCUAAGCACACACUCCGAGAGGGAAUCGGGUUAAAGCUCCUGAACUAGGACAUGGCAAUCAAGUUAAAAUUCUUGAACCAGCACAUGCCGCUUGGCGGCAACAUUAGGGAAUCCGAAGUGAGGAAACGUCAUUAGCU
This 255-nucleotide ribosomal RNA is filed under the name Lupinus angustifolius (narrow-leaved blue lupine). RNAcentral describes it as "rRNA LSU_rRNA_eukarya". It matches the Rfam family "Eukaryotic large subunit ribosomal RNA", at positions 1456 to 1722 of the family's 3401-position model. Lineage: Eukaryota; Viridiplantae; Streptophyta; Magnoliopsida; Fabales; Fabaceae. The record is from RNAcentral.